UACGUAGGGCGCGAGCGUUGUCCGGAUUUAUUGGGCGUAAAGAGCUCGUAGGCGGCUUGUCGCGUCGACUGUGAAAACCCGUGGCUCAACCAUGUGGUCUGCAGUCGAUACGGGCAGGCUAGAAUUCGGUAGGGGAGACUGGAAUUCCUGGUGUAGCGGUGAAAUGCGCAGAUAUCAGGAGGAACACCGGUGGCGAAGGCGGCAUCCUGGACCGGCAUUGACGCUGAGGCGCGAAAGCCAGGGGAGCAAACGGG
Molecule: ribosomal RNA, 254 nt
Filed under: uncultured bacterium
Lineage: Bacteria
Description: partial 16S ribosomal RNA
Rfam family: Bacterial small subunit ribosomal RNA
Source: RNAcentral